RNAcentral lists this ribosomal RNA (958 nucleotides) under Amanita submembranacea. RNAcentral describes it as "LSU rRNA". It matches the Rfam family "Eukaryotic large subunit ribosomal RNA", at positions 40 to 962 of the family's 3401-position model. The record is from RNAcentral. Lineage: Eukaryota; Fungi; Basidiomycota; Agaricomycetes; Agaricales; Amanitaceae.
AUAUCAAUAAGCGGAGGAAAAGAAACUAACAAGGAUUCCCCUAGUAACUGCGAGUGAAGCGGGAAAAGCUCAAAUUUGAAAUCUGGCAGUCUUUUUUUUCUUCUUUGGCUGUCCGAGUUGUAAUCUAGAGAAGUGCUUACCUGCGCUGGACCAUGUAUAAGUCUCCUGGAAUGGAGCCUCACAGAGGGUGAGAAUCCCGUCUUUGACAUGGACCGCCAGUGCGUUGUGGUGCGCUCUCAAAGAGUCGAGUUGUUUGGGAAUGCAGCUCUAAACGGGUGGUAAACUCCAUCUAAAGCUAAAUAUUGGCGAGAGACCGAUAGCGAACAAGUACCGUGAGGGAAAGAUGAAAAGGACUUUGGAAAGAGAGUUAAACAGUAUGUGAAAUUGUUGAAAGGGAAACGCUUGAAGUCAGUUAUGUCGGCUGGGGAUCAACCUAGCCAUUUUUUUGGCUGGGUGAAUUUCCUAGUCUGACAGGCCAACAUCAGUCUUGACUGCCGGAAAAGAGCGGAGGGAAUGUGGCACCUUUGGGUGUGUUAUAGCCCUCUGUCAUAUGCGGCAGUCGGGACUGAGGGAUGCAGCGUGCCGCGAGGCUGGGUUUCGACCACGUUCACGCUUAGGAUGUUGGCUUUUAAUGGCUCCAAUCGACCCGUCUUGAAACACGGACCAAGGAGUCUAACAUGCCUGCGAGUGUUUGGGUGGAAAACCCUUGUGCACAAUGAAAGUGAAAGUUGAGAUCCCUGUCAUGGGGAGCAUCGACGCCCGGACUUGAGCUUUUAGCGASGGAUCCGCGGUAGAGCAUGCAUGUUGGGACCCGAAAGAUGGUGAACUAUGCCUGAAUAGGGCAAAGCCAGAGGAAACUCUGGUGGAGGCUCGUAGCGAUUCUGACGUGCAAAUCGAUCGUCAAAUUUGGGUAUAGGGGCGAAAGACUAAUCGAACCAUCUAGUAGCUGGUUCCUGCC